RNAcentral lists this ribosomal RNA (404 nucleotides) under uncultured bacterium. Its description in RNAcentral is "bacterial SSU rRNA". It matches the Rfam family "Bacterial small subunit ribosomal RNA", at positions 355 to 776 of the family's 1533-position model. The record is from RNAcentral.
UGGGGAAUCUUAGACAAUGGGGGAAACCCUGAUCUAGCCAUGCCGCGUGGACGAUGAAGGCCCUAGGGUUGUAAAGUCCUUUCGCUGGGGAAGAUAAUGACGGUACCCAGUAAAGAAGCCCCGGCUAACUCCGUGCCAGCAGCCGCGGUAAUACGGAGGGGGCUAGCGUUGUUCGGAAUUACUGGGCGUAAAGCGCACGUAGGCGGAUUAUUAAGUCGGGGGUGAAAUCCCGGGGCUCAACCCCGGAACUGCCUUCGAUACUGGUAGUCUAGAGUUCUGGAGAGGUGAGUGGAAUUCCGAGUGUAGAGGUGAAAUUCGUAGAUAUUCGGAGGAACACCAGUGGCGAAGGCGGCUCACUGGCCAGAUACUGACGCUGAGGUGCGAAAGCGUGGGGAGCAAACAGG